AGAGUUUGAUUCUGGCUCAGAUUGAACGCUGGCGGCGUGCUUAACACAUGCAAGUCGAACGCGAAAGUGGCUUCGGCCACGAGUAGAGUGGCGCACGGGUGAGUAACGCGUGGAUAAUCUGCCUCUGCAAUCGGAAUAACGACUGGAAACGGUCGCUAAUACCGGAUACGCUUAAGUUUUACCUCUUAAGGAAAGAUGACCUCUAUUUAUAAGUUAUCGUGCAGAGAUGAGUCCGCGUCCCAUUAGCUUGUUGGCGGGGUAACGGCCCACCAAGGCGACGAUGGGUAGCCGAUUUAAGAGGAUGAUCGGCCACAUUGGAACUGAAACACGGUCCAAACUCCUACGGGAGGCAGCAGUGGGGAAUAUUGCGCAAUGGGCGAAAGCCUGACGCAGCGACGCCGCGUGAGGGAUGAAGGUCUUCGGAUCGUAAACCUCUGUCAGAAGGGAAAAAUGUACAGUGCCCCAAUCAACACUGUAUUGAUGGUACCUUCAGAGGAAGCACCGGCUAACUCCGUGCCAGCAGCCGCGGUAAUACGGAGGGUGCAAGCGUUAAUCGGAAUUACUGGGCGUAAAGCGCGCGUAGGUUGUUUUGUAAGUCAGAGGUGUAAUCCCACGGCUUAACCGUGGAACUGCCUUUGAUACUGCAUAACUUGGAUCCGGGAGAGGACAGCGGAAUUCCAGGUGUAGGAGUGAAAUCCGUAGAUAUCUGGAAGAACAUCAGUGGCGAAGGCGGCUGUCUGGACCGGUAUUGACGCUGAGGCGCGAAAGCGUGGGUAGCAAACAGGAUUAGAUACCCUGGUAGUCCACGCUGUAAACGAUGGAUGCUGGAUGUCGGGGCGCAAGCUUCGGUGUCGUAGUUAACGCGAUAAGCAUCCCGCCUGGGGACUACGGUCGCAAGGCUGAAACUCAAAGAAAUUGACGGGGGCC
This 927-nucleotide ribosomal RNA is filed under the name human gut metagenome. RNAcentral describes it as "bacterial SSU rRNA". It matches the Rfam family "Bacterial small subunit ribosomal RNA", at positions 8 to 921 of the family's 1533-position model. The record is from RNAcentral.